RNAcentral lists this ribosomal RNA (468 nucleotides) under uncultured bacterium. Its description in RNAcentral is "partial 16S ribosomal RNA". It matches the Rfam family "Bacterial small subunit ribosomal RNA", at positions 28 to 507 of the family's 1533-position model. The record is from RNAcentral.
GACGAACGCUGGCGGCGUGCUUAACACAUGCAAGUCGAACGGAAAGGCCCUGCUUUUGUGGGGUGCUCGAGUGGCGAACGGGUGAGUAACACGUGAGUAAACUGCACUUGACUUUGGGAUAACUUCAGGAAACUGGGGCUCAUACCGGAUAGGAGCUCCUGCUGCAUGGGGGGGGUUGGAAAGUUUCGGCGGUUUGGGAUGGACUCGCGGCUUAUCAGCUUGUUGGUGGGGUAGUGGCUUACCAAGGCUUUGACGGGUAGCCGGCCUGAGAGGGUGACCGGGCACAUGGGGACUGAGAUACGGCCCAGACUGCAACGGGACGCAGCGGGGGGGAAUAUUGCGGAGUGGGCGGAAGCCUGAUGCGGCAAUGCCGCGUGCGGGAAGAUGUCCUUCGGGUGGUAAACCGAUGUGUCAGGUGACGAAGCGUGAUUGACGGUAAUGGGUAAAGAAGCACCGGCUAACUACGUG